CAACUACUCCCUUUGUCCCAAAUUUCUUGUCUUAGAUUUGUCUAGAUACGGAUGCAUCUUGAUACAUUCGUAUCUAGACAAAUCUAAGACAAGAAUUUUGGGACAGAGGGAGUACUUU
Non-coding RNA from Triticum aestivum (bread wheat), 118 nucleotides. The record is from Rfam. Lineage: Eukaryota; Viridiplantae; Streptophyta; Magnoliopsida; Poales; Poaceae.